AUGUGCAUGUGUAAUAUAAUUCACAACAACAAAAUAAUACUUUAUUUCUUCACUGAGCUCAACUAUUUUCUACAGAGUACAUCGAUCUUUUGCAUAGUCUACCUUUCCUCAGUUAUUGUGCCAGAGAACUAUUGGCAACACUAUACAUUUUACUCAACACCGUUGUCAUCAAUUUGUCCUACCGCAGAAAUCCCUGACAAUAUCAGCAAGCCAACGGGGAAGAGUGCCAAUGCUCCUUCAGAAUCUCCACGGCAUGAUCAACGGCAUAUAUUAUCAUCUUCUUCACCUGCGCCAAAUAGAAGGUAA
RNAcentral lists this ribosomal RNA (306 nucleotides) under Triticum aestivum (bread wheat). Its description in RNAcentral is "partial small subunit ribosomal RNA". The record is from RNAcentral. Lineage: Eukaryota; Viridiplantae; Streptophyta; Magnoliopsida; Poales; Poaceae.